ACUUACUCUCCUGAUGUCGCCAAU
RNAcentral lists this non-coding RNA (24 nucleotides) under Arabidopsis thaliana (thale cress). Lineage: Eukaryota; Viridiplantae; Streptophyta; Magnoliopsida; Brassicales; Brassicaceae. The record is from RNAcentral.